GAAUAAUAAAAGAAAAGUCCUUAGCGAGGAAUGACAGGGUUUAGGGUUUAGGGCUUUGUUUAGGGUUCAGGGUUCAGGGUUGUUUAGGGUUUAGGGUUUAGGGUUUAGGGUUUAGGGGUUUAGGGUGUAGGGUUUAGGGUUUUAGGGUUUAGGGUUUAGGGUUUAGGGUUUUAGGGUUUAGGUCUAGGGAUUAGGGUUAGGUCUAGGGUCUAGGGUUAGGGGUUAGGGUAGGUUAGGGUUAGGGGUAGGGGUUAGGGUUCAGGGUUAGGGUUCAGGGUCAGGGUUCAGGGUUCAGGGGUUUAGGGUUUAGGGGUUUUAGGGUUUUAGGGGUUUAGGAUGUUUGGGUUUAGGGUUUUAGGUUAGAGGUUUAGGUUUUAGGGUUUAGGGUUUGGGUUUAGGGUUAAGGGUUUAGGGUUAGCGGUUUAAAGGGGUUUAGGGUUAAGGGUUAAGGGUUAGGGUUAAGGGUUUAGGGUUUUAGGGGUUGUUAGGGUUUUAGGGUUAUAGGAGUUAUAGGGUUAUAGGGUAUAGGGUUAGGUUUAGGGUUAGGGUUUAGGGUUUAGGUUUUAGGGUUUAGGAGUUUAGGGUUUAGGGUUGUAGGUUAGGGUUAGGGUUUAGAGGUUUAGGGUUUAGGGUUUUAGGGUUUAGGUUUAGGGUUUAGGUUUAGGUUAGGUUGUUAGGUUUAGGGUUUAGAGAUGUUUAGGUUUGGUUAUAGGGUUUAGGGUUUAGGGUUUGGUUUAGGGUUUAGGGUUUAGGUUUAGGUUUAGGGUUAGGGUUUAGGAGGUUUAGGGUUAGAGUUUAGGGUUUAGGGGUUUAGGGUUUUAGGGUUUAGGUUUUAGGUUGUUAGGGUUUUAGGGUUUAGGUUUAGGGUUUAGGGUUUGGGUUUAGGGUUUAUGUACGGUUUUAGGGUUUUAGAGGUUUUAGAGGUUUUUAGGGUUUGGUUGGGUUUGGUUAGGUUUAGGGAGUUUAGGGUUUAGGGUUUAGGGUUUAGGUUUAGGGUUUAGGGUUUAGGGUUUAGGUUUGUUUAGUUGGUUUAGGUUUAGGGUUUAGGGUUUAGGUUAGGGGUUUUAAGGUGUUUAGGGUUUAGGGUUUAGGGUUUUAAGGGUUUAGGCGUUUAGGUUUAGGGUUUAGGGUUUAGGGUUUAGGGUUUAGGGUUUUAGGCGUUGUUAGGGUUUUAGGGUUUAGGUUUAGGAUUUAGGGUUUGGUUUAGGGUUUAGGGUUUAGGUUUAGCGUUUAGGGUUUAAGGGUUUAGUUAGGUUUGGGUUUAGGGUUUAGGUUUAGGGUUAUGGGUUUAGGGUUUAGGGUUUAGGUUUAGGGUUAGGGUUUGGUUAGGGUUUAGGGUUUAAAGGGUUUAGGUAGGGUUUAGGUUUAGGGUUAGGUGUUAGGUUUUAGGGUUUAGGGUUUGGGUUAGGGUUGGGUUUGAGGUUUAGGCGUUUAGGGUUUAGGUUUAGGUUUAGGUUUAGGGUUAGGGUUUAGGGUUUAGGGUUUGAGGUUUAGGGUUUAGUGGUUUUAGGUUUAGGGUUUAGGGUUUUAGGAGUUUUAAGGUCUUAGGGUUUUUAGGGUUUAGGUUUAGGGUGGUGGUUUAUAGGUUUUAGGGUUAGGGUUUAGGGUUUAGGAGUUUAGGUUUGAGGUUUAGGGUUUAGGGUUUAGGAUAGGGUUUAGGGUUUAGGUUUAGGUUUUAGGGUUUAGGUUAGUUUACGGGUUUAGGUUUAGGUUUAGGGUUAGAGGUAGGGUUUAGGGUUAGGGUUUAGGGUUAGGGUUUAGGGUUAGGGUUUAGGGUUCAGGGUUCAGGGUUCAGGGGUUCAGGGUUCAGGGGUUUCAGGGUUCAGGGUUCAGGUUAGGGUUCAGGGUUACAGGGUUCAGGUAUUAGGGUUUCAGGUUCAGAGGUUCAGGGUUCCCAGCGGAUUCUAGGGUUCAGGGUUCCGGGUUAGGUUCAGGGUUCAGGUUCGCGGUCAGGGAUUGGUUCAGGAGUUCAGGAGUUGGGAUUCAGGGUUCAGGGUUCAGGGUUCAGGGUUACGGGUUCAGAGGUUCAGGGUUUAAGGUUCGGUUCAGGGUUCAGUGGGAUCAGGGUUCAGGUAGUUCAGAGGUUCAGGGUUCAUGGGGUUCAGGGUUCAGGAGCUUCAGGGUUUCAGAAGUUAGGGUUCAGGGUUCAGGGUUAAGGGUUCAGGGUUAAGGGUCAGGGUUCAAGGUUCAGGGCUCUAGGCGUUAGGUGAUUAGGUUCAGGUUCAGUGUUCAGGGUUUAGGGAUUCAGGGUAUAUUCAGCGAGUACAGGUUAGGCGUUCAGGGUCAGGGUUAGGUGUUCAGUGGUUCUAGGGCUUUCAGAGGUUCAGGGAUUCAGGGUUCGUUCAGUGGUUCAGGGGUUCAGGUUCAGGUUCAGGGUUAGGUUGGGUUCAAGGUGUUCUAGGGUUCAGGGUUCAGUUAGGUUCGGGUUAGGGUUUAGAGGUUUAGGGUUUAGGGUUCUUAGGUUGUUUAGGGAUUUAGGGUUAGGGGUUUAGGAGGUUUAGGUGUUAGGGUUUAGGGUUUAGGGUUUAGGGUUUAGUGGGUUGGUUUAGGGUUUAGGUUUAGGUAUUAGGGUUUAGGGUUUAGAGUUUUAGGGUUUAGGGUUUAGGGUUUAGGCGUUUUAUGAGGUUUAAGGGUUUAGGGUUUAGGGUUUAGGGUUAGGGUUAUGUUAGGAGUUUAGGGUUUGGGUUUAGGCGUUAUAGGGUUUAAGGGUUUGGUUAUAGGUUUAGCGGGUUUAGAGAGUUUAUAGGGUUUAGGGUUUUAGGGUUUAGGGUUUAGGGUUUAGGGUUUUAGGGUUUAGGUUUAGGGUUAGGGUUUAAGGUUAGGUUUGAGGUUUAGGGUUUAGGGUUUAGGUUUUAGGGUUGGCGUUUGAGGUUUUGCGGUUUGGUUAGGUUUAGGGUUUAGGUUUUAGGGAUUUAAGAGGUUAUUAGGGUUUAGGGUUUAGGGUUUAGGGUUUAGUGUUUUAGGUUUAGGGUUUAGGGUAUUUAGGGUUUAGGAGUUUAGGUUUAAGGGUUAGGGUUAGGGUUUUAGGUUUUAGGGUUAUAGGGUUUAGGUUAGGCUUUAGGGUUUAGGGUAUAGGUUAGAGAUUUUAGGGUUAGGGUUUAGGGUUUAGGGUUUUAGGGUAUUUAGGGUUUAGGGUUUGCGGUUUAGGGUUUAGGGAUUUAGGGUUUAGGGUUUAGGGUUU
RNAcentral lists this long non-coding RNA (3181 nucleotides) under Ananas comosus (pineapple). RNAcentral describes it as "long non-coding RNA (ACOM_LNC002742)". Lineage: Eukaryota; Viridiplantae; Streptophyta; Magnoliopsida; Poales; Bromeliaceae. The record is from RNAcentral.